GAAGCAGUCUGUUUGUGUAGUUUGUUUGGAAUAAAAAGGCGAAUAUUCAAAAUUGUUAUCAAAAGUACAACCAUUUAUAGCAAAUAAGAUCAAAGAGUAUAUUUGGUCUGAGUACAAUAAAGAUUUCAUUGUUUGCCCUGACGUAAUAUGUUAAAAUUGUAGAAGAAACAUAUUUUUGCUGGAGAAGGGAUCAAGUACUUAUCUAUCAAACUGGAUGAAUAAAGUAUCUCAAAUUGACAGGCCAAGAAUAAGACGCAGUACUGAACUUAGUGAUAUUGUUCAACCAUUUUGUGGUAAAACACUAGCUGUAGGAUCUCCAAAGGAAAAUAUAUGUAGUUGCUGCUUUUCUCUCCUUGCAAGAGGAGGUCAUAGCAAUUGUAGUUCUGGUCA
Hydra vulgaris (swiftwater hydra) is the source of this 390-nucleotide non-coding RNA. Lineage: Eukaryota; Metazoa; Cnidaria; Hydrozoa; Anthoathecata; Hydridae. The record is from RefSeq and is a predicted model, not a curated record.